AGGGCACCACCAGGAGUGGAGCCUGCGGCUUAAUUUGACUCAACACGGGAAAACUCACCCGGCCCGGACACUGGAAGGAUUGACAGAUUGAGAGCUCUUUCUUGAUUCAGUGGGUGGUGGUGCAUGGCCGUUCUUAGUUGGUGGAGUGAUUUGUCUGGUUAAUUCCGAUAACGAACGAGACUCUAGCCUACUAAAUAGAUCGUCGGUUUACAAACGCCGGCGAGACUUCUUAGAGGGACAGGCGGUGAUUCAACCGCACGAAACAGAGCAAUAACAGGUCUGUGAUGCCCUUAGAUGUCCGGGGCCGCACGCGCGCUACACUGAAGUGAUCAGCGUGCUUUUUCAACCUACUCUGUCAAGAGUGGGGAACCCAAUGAACCUUCUUCGUGAUUGGGAUAGGGGAUUGUAAUUAUUCCCCUUGAACGAGGAAUUCCCAGUAAGCGCGAGUCAUAGGCUCGCGUUGAUUACGUCCCUGCCCUUUGUACACACCGCCCGUCGCUACUACCGAUUGAAUGUUUU
This 519-nucleotide ribosomal RNA is filed under the name uncultured eukaryote. RNAcentral's name for it is "SSU rRNA". It matches the Rfam family "Eukaryotic small subunit ribosomal RNA", at positions 1161 to 1699 of the family's 1831-position model. The record is from RNAcentral.